GAUGAACGCUGGCGGCGUGCCUAAUACAUGCAAGUCGAGCGAACAGAUAAGGAGCUUGCUCCUUUGACGUUAGCGGCGGACGGGUGAGUAACACGUGGAUAACCUACCUAUAAGACUGGGAUAACUUCGGGAAACCGGAGCUAAUACCGGAUAACAUAUUGAACCGCAUGGUUCAAUAGUGAAAGGCGGCUUUGCUGUCACUUAUAGAUGGAUCCGCGCCGUAUUAGCUAGUUGGUAAGGUAACGGCUUACCAAGGCAACGAUACGUAGCCGACCUGAGAGGGUGAUCGGCCACACUGGAACUGAGACACGGUCCAGACUCCUACGGGAGGCAGCAGUAGGGAAUCUUCCGCAAUGGGCGAAAGCCUGACGGAGCAACGCCGCGUGAGUGAUGAAGGUCUUCGGAUCGUAAAACUCUGUUAUCAGGGAAGAACAAAUGUGUAAGUAACUGUGCACAUCUUGACGGUACCUGAUCAGAAAGCCACGGCUAACUACGUGCCAGCAGCCGCGGUAAUACGUAGGUGGCAAGCGUUAUCCGGAAUUAUUGGGCGUAAAGCGCGCGUAGGCGGUUUUUUAAGUCUGAUGUGAAAGCCCACGGCUCAACCGUGGAGGGUCAUUGGAAACUGGAAAACUUGAGUGCAGAGAGAGGAAAGUGGAAUUCCAUGUGUAGCGGUGAAAUGCGCAGAGAUAUGGAGGAACACCAGUGGCGAAGGCGACUUUCUGGUCUGUAACUGACGCUGAUGUGCGAAAGCGUGGGGAUCAAACAGGAUUAGAUACCCUGGUAGUCCACGCCGUAAACGAUGAGUGCUAAGUGUUAGGGGGUUUCCGCCCCUUAGUGCUGCAGCUAACGCAUUAAGCACUCCGCCUGGGGAGUACGACCGCAAGGUUGAAACUCAAAGGAAUUGACGGGGACCCGCACAAGCGGUGGAGCAUGUGGUUUAAUUCGAAGCAACGCGAAGAACCUUACCAAAUCUUGACAUCCUUUGACUGCUCUAGAGAUAGAGUCUUCCCCUUCGGGGGACAAAGUGACAGGUGGUGCAUGGUUGUCGUCAGCUCGUGUCGUGAGAUGUUGGGUUAAGUCCCGCAACGAGCGAAACCCUUAAGCUUAGUUGCCAUCAUUAAGUUGGGCACUCUAAGUUGACUGCCGGUGACAAACCGGAGGAAGGUGGGGAUGACGUCAAAUCAUCAUGCCCCUUAUGAUUUGGGCUACACACGUGCUACAAUGGACAAUACAAAGGGCAGCUAAACCGCGAGGUCAAGCAAAUCCCAUAAAGUUGUUCUCAGUUCGGAUUGUAGUCUGCAACUCGACUACAUGAAGCUGGAAUCGCUAGUAAUCGUAGAUCAGCAUGCUACGGUGAAUACGUUCCCGGGUCU
RNAcentral lists this ribosomal RNA (1373 nucleotides) under uncultured bacterium. RNAcentral's name for it is "bacterial SSU rRNA". It matches the Rfam family "Bacterial small subunit ribosomal RNA", at positions 28 to 1381 of the family's 1533-position model. The record is from RNAcentral.